UACGAGGGGUGCAAGCGUUAAUCGGAAUUACUGGGCGUAAAGCGUACGCAGGCGGUUGAUUAAGCGAGAUGUGAAAGCCCCGGGCUUAACCUGGGAACUGCAUUUCGAACUGGUCAACUAGAGUCUUGUAGAGGGGGGUAGAAUUUCAGGUGUAGCGGUGAAAUGCGUAGAGAUCUGAAGGAAUACCGGUGGCGAAGGCGGCCCCCUGGACAAAGACUGACGCUCAGGUACGAAAGCGUGGGGAGCAAACAGG
This 253-nucleotide ribosomal RNA is filed under the name uncultured Shewanella sp. RNAcentral describes it as "partial 16S ribosomal RNA". It matches the Rfam family "Bacterial small subunit ribosomal RNA", at positions 524 to 776 of the family's 1533-position model. The record is from RNAcentral. Lineage: Bacteria; Pseudomonadati; Pseudomonadota; Gammaproteobacteria; Alteromonadales; Shewanellaceae.